RNAcentral lists this long non-coding RNA (469 nucleotides) under Marmota monax (woodchuck). The record is from RNAcentral. Lineage: Eukaryota; Metazoa; Chordata; Mammalia; Rodentia; Sciuridae.
GAUCCAAUUGCAAUGGUACCAACCUAAGGACCAUAUGUACUAUUGGACAACCUAAGGCAGGCACGGUCCCUAAGCCACAUGCUAGUUGUUUAAACAGAGAGGGAGAGAUGUUGAGAGCCACAGCCGAAGGGGCCCCAGCAAACUUCCAGCUGCCAGCAAACUUCCAGCUGCCUGCUGAUGAUUGGCUCACAGCGGCCCCAGCAACAUCUAGCUGAUUGGCUCCUCUGCGGUGAUGCUCAUUGGGCUGUUUCCCUGCCCUUUCAGACCACGGAGCUGCUCAUUGGGGGACUUUUUUGGCUCCGCCCACGUGACCAAGCCAAUCGGCCUCAAGAGCAGGAGGAUUGUGGGAGGUGGAGAGAAGCUUGUGUGGGAGAGAGAGGCUUGUGGAAAGCCGGUGGUGGCAGUUGAGGCUCUGAGGGUUUUUCCUGAGAGGCUGUUUUGUAAGGCGUGUGUGGUUCUAAAAAUAAAG